Molecule: long non-coding RNA, 308 nt
Organism: Bufo bufo (common toad)
Lineage: Eukaryota; Metazoa; Chordata; Amphibia; Anura; Bufonidae
Exons: 3
Source: RefSeq, a predicted model, not a curated record
CUUUCCGGUUUAGUUACGUUUACUAGUUAUUCUUGUUAUUAAUUUUUACUAUUUGAAAAGUUAUUUUAUAUGUGCAGCUCAACAAUGAAGUAGAGGAUAUGCGGUAUCAACUCGACAUCAAGAAUUUAUAAGACUUUUUUGGACAGGUGGACAGCCGGCGCGUGGUAGGAAAGCUCUCUAGCCGUGGAGUGUGAUUUGUAUCAGCGUCUCCACGGUGGAGAACCAGUACCAACCCAUUCUUGACACGACCUGGACUCAAGACAGCGGACAACAUGUGAGCGCACAGCAGUGUGAAGAGCCACAACCUU